CGGAACUAGACGUGCGUCCAUCGCGAGA
RNAcentral lists this small RNA (28 nucleotides) under Bombyx mori (domestic silkworm). RNAcentral describes it as "ovarian small RNA-14435". The record is from RNAcentral. Lineage: Eukaryota; Metazoa; Arthropoda; Insecta; Lepidoptera; Bombycidae.